This 422-nucleotide long non-coding RNA is filed under the name Gallus gallus (chicken). Lineage: Eukaryota; Metazoa; Chordata; Aves; Galliformes; Phasianidae. The record is from RNAcentral.
AGCUGAAGAUCUGGUUCUCGGAGCGGGACCUGGAGCGCACCUUUUCCUACCCCUCGGAGGGGGCGUUGCUGGCAGCCUGGGGACCCCCCCCGGAAGAACCCCAAAACCCCCCCCCGGGACCCCCCACAGCCCCCGAUGAGGAUGAGGAAGAGGAGGAGCCCCCCCCGGGGAGGGGGCUGCAGGGGGGGCUGCGGGCACGAGCUCUGCUAGUGGAUGAAUCCUGUCGCCGGUGACCCUGACCAAUGGGAGGGGGGGGCACAGCAGAGCAGAUUCCCCCCCCCCCCCCCAAACACCCCCCGGGGGGGGGGGGGGGGCGCAUUUUUACACCUCCUUUUGCAACGUUUUGUAGCUUUUUUUUUUUAAGCAGCCAUUUUUUUUCCUUAAUGAGGUUUCUAGGCCCUAACGAAGGGCUUUUUAUAGGG